GUCGAGCGGCAGCGGGGAGUAGCUUGCUACUCUGCCGGCGAGCGGCGGACGGGUGAGUAAAGUCUGGGGAUCUGGCUUAUGGAGGGGGGUAACCAUUGGAAACGGUGGCUAAUACCGCAUGAUGUCGCAAGACCAAAGUGGGGGACUUUAGGGCCUCACGCCAUAAGAUGAACCCAGAUGAGAUUAGCUAGUAGGUGCGGUAAUGGCGUACCUAGGCGACGAUCUCUAGCUGGUCUGAGAGGAUGACCAGCCACACUGGAACUGAGAAACGGUCCAGACUCCUACGGGAGGCAGCAGUGGGGAAUAUUGCACAAUGGGCGGAAGCCUGAUGCAGCCAUGCCGCGUGUGUGAAGAAGGCCUUAGGGUUGUAAAGCACUUUCAGCGGGGAGGAAGGCGGUAAGAGUAAUAUGCUUAUCGAUUGACGUUACCCGCAAAAGAAGCACCGGCUAACUCCGUGCCAGCAGCCGCGGUAAUACGGAGGGUGCGAGCGUUAAUCGGAAUAACUGGGCGUAAAGGGCAUGUAGGCGGUAAGUUAAGUCAGAUGUGAAAUCCCCGAGCUUAACUUGGGAACGGCAUUUGAGACUGGCGGGCUAGAGUUUUGUAGAGGGGGGUAGAAUUCCAGGUGUAGCGGUGAAAUGCGUAGAGAUCUGGAGGAAUACCGGUGGCGAAGGCGGCCCCCUGGACAAGGACUGACGCUGAGGUGCGAAAGCGUGGGUAGCAAACAGGAUUAGAUACCCUGGUAGUCCACGCUGUAAACGAUGUCGAUUUGGAGGUUGUGGCCUAGUGUUAUGGCGUCCGAAGCUAACGCGAUAAAUCGACCGCCUGGGGAGUACNGCCGCAGGUUAAAACUCAAUGAAUUUGACGGGGGCCCGCACAAGCNGUGGAGCAUGUGGUUUAUUCGAUGCAACGCGAAGAACCNUACCUACUCUUGACNUCCACGGAAUUGA
RNAcentral lists this ribosomal RNA (947 nucleotides) under Candidatus Regiella insecticola. RNAcentral describes it as "bacterial SSU rRNA". It matches the Rfam family "Bacterial small subunit ribosomal RNA", at positions 61 to 999 of the family's 1533-position model. Lineage: Bacteria; Pseudomonadati; Pseudomonadota; Gammaproteobacteria; Enterobacterales; Enterobacteriaceae. The record is from RNAcentral.